RNAcentral lists this ribosomal RNA (460 nucleotides) under uncultured bacterium. Its description in RNAcentral is "partial 16S ribosomal RNA". It matches the Rfam family "Bacterial small subunit ribosomal RNA", at positions 338 to 795 of the family's 1533-position model. The record is from RNAcentral.
CCUACGGGUGGCAGCAGUGAGGAAUAUUGGUCAAUGGACGAGAGUCUGAACCAGCCAAGUAGCGUGAAGGAUGACUGCCCUAUGGGUUGUAAACUUCUUUUAUAUGGGAAUAAAAUGUUCCACGUGUGGGAUUUUGUAUGUACCAUAUGAAUAAGGAUCGGCUAACUCCGUGCCAGCAGCCGCGGUAAUACGGAGGAUCCGAGCGUUAUCCGGAUUUAUUGGGUUUAAAGGGAGCGUAGGUGGAUUGUUAAGUCAGUUGUGAAAGUUUGCGGCUCAACCGUAAAAUUGCAGUGGAAACUGGCAGUCUUGAGUACAGUAGAGGUGGGCAGAAUUCGUGGUGUAGCGGUGAAAUGCUUAGAUAUCACGAAGAACUCCGAUUGCGAAGGCAGUUCACUGGACUGCAACUGACACUGAGGCUCGAAAGUGUGGGUAUCAAACAGGAUUAGAUACCCUUGUAGUC